This 497-nucleotide ribosomal RNA is filed under the name uncultured bacterium. RNAcentral's name for it is "partial 16S ribosomal RNA". It matches the Rfam family "Bacterial small subunit ribosomal RNA", at positions 28 to 507 of the family's 1533-position model. The record is from RNAcentral.
GAUGAACGCUGGCGGCGUGCCUAAUACAUGCAAGUCGAGCGAACAGACGAGGAGCUUGCUCCUCUGACGUUAGCGGCGGACGGGUGAGUACCACAUGGAUAACCUACCUAUAAGACUGGGAUAACAUCGGGAAACCGGAGCUAAUACCGAAUAAUAUAUUGAACCGCAUGGUUCAAUAGUGAAAGACGGUUUUGCUGUCACUUAUAGAUGGAUCCGCCCCGCAUUAGCUAGUUGGUAAGGUAACGGCUUACCAAGGCAACGAUGCGUAACCGACCUGAGAGGGUGAUCGGCCACACUGGAACUGAGACACGGUCCACACUCCUACGGGAGGCAGCAGUAGGGAAUCUUCCGCAAUGGGCGAAAGCGUGACAGUGCAACGCCGCGGGAGUGAUGAACGUCUUCGGACCCGAAAACGCUGUUAGUAGGGAAGAACAAAUGUGUAAGUAACCAGGCUCGUAUUGACGGUACCGAAUCAGAAAGCCACGGCUAACUCCGUG